AGAUUAUUUCAUUGCUUUUGGAGAAUGGAGCCGAUGUAAACUCCAGAAAUUACUGUGGGCAGGGUAUUCCAGUGCAACAAAGCAGCACAGACUGUGGGUAUUUCAUAAUGAGAUACAUGAAGGACAUCGUGGAGGAUAAGAACUUGGAGUUUUUCAGCAAGUGGGAGAAAAAAGGGAAAGCAGCAUAUACCCAGCAGCAUAUUGAUGAAGUCAGAAACGAGUGGGCAAAAUUUGUUGUUAAAACAUAUAUGUAAGCUUGUGGUUGGGUAUCGACUUAUUUUGGUAACCUUGAUUUUACAAGUUGUAUAGACAAUAUUAUUAUUACUUGCUAGAUUGAGGUUACUUUUGG
This is a long non-coding RNA of Rosa chinensis, 349 nucleotides long. RefSeq lists it as uncharacterized. NCBI's taxonomy places the organism in Eukaryota, Viridiplantae, Streptophyta, Magnoliopsida, Rosales, Rosaceae. The transcript has 3 exons. The record is from RefSeq and is a predicted model, not a curated record.